Molecule: ribosomal RNA, 463 nt
Filed under: uncultured bacterium
Lineage: Bacteria
Description: bacterial SSU rRNA
Rfam family: Bacterial small subunit ribosomal RNA
Source: RNAcentral
GGGCCCGCACAAGCAGUGGAGUAUGUGGUUUAAUUCGAAGCAACGCGAAGAACCUUACCAGGGCUUGACAUCCCCUUGACAGGCAUAGAGAUAUGCUUUCUCUUCGGAGCAAGGGAGACAGGUGGUGCAUGGUUGUCGUCAGCUCGUGUCGUGAGAUGUUGGGUUAAGUCCCGCAACGAGCGCAACCCCUGUUGUUAGUUGCCAGCAUUGAGUUGGGCACUCUAACGAGACUGCCGGUGAUAAAUCGGAGGAAGGUGGGGACGACGUCAAAUCAUCAUGCCCCUUAUGUCCUGGGCUACACACGUACUACAAUGGCGAUAACAGAGGGAGGCAAGACAGCGAUGUGGAGCAAAUCCCCAAAAGUCGCCCCAGUUCAGAUUGCAGGCUGCAACCCGCCUGCAUGAAGCCGGAAUUGCUAGUAAUGGCAGGUCAGCAUACUGCCGUGAAUACGUUCCCGGGCCUU